UACGUAGGGUGCAAGCGUUAAUCGGAAUUACUGGGCGUAAAGCGUGCGCAGGCGGUUUUGUAAGCCAGAUGUGAAAUCCCCCGGGCUCAACCUGGGAAUGGCAUUUGGGACUGCAAGGCUGGAGUACGGCAGAGGAGACUGGAAUUCCUGGUGUAGCAGUGAAAUGCGUAGAUAUCAGGAGGAAUACCGAUGGCGAAGGCAGGUCUCUGGGCUGAUACUGACGCUCAUGCACGAAAGCGUGGGGAGCAAACAGG
RNAcentral lists this ribosomal RNA (254 nucleotides) under uncultured bacterium. Its description in RNAcentral is "partial 16S ribosomal RNA". It matches the Rfam family "Bacterial small subunit ribosomal RNA", at positions 524 to 776 of the family's 1533-position model. The record is from RNAcentral.